RNA transcript from Orussus abietinus, 2596 nucleotides. RefSeq lists it as uncharacterized. NCBI's taxonomy places the organism in Eukaryota, Metazoa, Arthropoda, Insecta, Hymenoptera, Orussidae. The record is from RefSeq and is a predicted model, not a curated record. The transcript has 11 exons.
CACCUAAAAUAAAUUCAUUCCAGAAUGUGCUGAAAGAUUGGACCAGAAUAUACAUAUGCAUAAAUAUAUGUACGUUAUGAUUCACUACUUGAAUCACAUUUUCAGAGUCAGAACCAGUCAGAACAGCCUGGAACAGUCAUAGCCGGUUGUAGUCGGUGUCCUGAAGGUUACAGGAAAGUUGAGGAAAGUACUGCAGUGACUUGGGAGUUAAAAGAUAUUUCAGAUUAUUGUCUGUUUUUUUUAUUUUAGACUUUUAUACUAACUGAAAAAAAAUUAUAAACUAAAGACAAGGUGAAUCACAAGUUUGUUAAUAAGAGAGGUUAAAAGAUUUUUUAAGACAAUGGGAGAUAAUACAUUGCCCGAUGACGAUACCAUUACAUUGGUCCUUUGUGAUAAUCGUAUUUUGGCAUCCAAAAAAAAACUGGCUCGUAAGAGUCGCUAUUUUCAAUGUUUAUUCUCUAAGAAGUUCUGUGAUUCUACUCAAAAGGAAUUUGACAUUAAUUAUGAUUUCCAGCCGGGAACAUUACAGGAUUUUGUUGAUUGGACAAGUAGCAAUGAAACAACGCAAUUCGAUGAUGGUCACACUAUUAACAAAAGUUUAUUAAAAUAUGUCCAUGGAUCAUUUACACCUCUUUUGACUUUAUUAGAACUUGGUUUUACCUUUAUGGUGGACAGUUUCAUCAGCGAUGUAAUGGACGUAUUAAUCCACCAUUGGUUGGAGCCUGAAAUAGUAAUCGAUCUCUGGUUAUUAACUCAGGAAAUGAAUUACACAAAACUGAAAGAUGUUGCAUUUGCCGCUUGCCUAGACAGAUUUAUGGAAAUUCCAAUGAAUGCUCUGUUAAAGUUACCAAAAGAAAAAUUUCUACAGCUGAUUAGAAAUGUUAAUAUUAGAUCUACAGCCAAUCAUUUACACUCUGUGACAAAAGCAUGGAUUGAAAAGAACAAUGACGGAGAGAAUUUGACGAGUGAAAUUUCGAAUCGAACAGAACGUUUGAAAAAGGCGAAGGAACCUGUCAUAAGAUACAAGGACACUUCAGGGCAACUUUAUAAAGAAGGCCGUUAUGGCUAUGUAUCUGCUGGAAAUUGCGAGUGGAGUUCAUACGAUCCAUUUAGAAAUGAAGAAAUGGCAUUUGCAUGUUCAUUAUUUUUGGAACCUGUAGUAGUGGAUGUAUGCCUAGAAUCAACAGACAUAGACAUAUUGUCUUUGGAAAUUACUUCUGAAAAUUUGAAGAACAAGGAGAGAUGGAAUCUUUAUUACUGGGAUUAUAAGAAAUCGUGUACUGUUACAUAUGAGUUGAACAAUAUAACAGUUCCAUUUGAGAAAAUCAAGGGAAUGGAAGUUGUAGGACGAGGAUUUAGUAUAUAUUUUGUUGGCGGAGUAUACGAUUCCAGCCGUUCGGAUUUGGAAAAAUUUAAUAUGGAUAUCUGGCGAUAUUGUACAUUGUCCGAGAAGUUAUACUAUGUGGCAAGACUGCCUCGUCCCCGUAAAGAUAUGCUAGCCUUUUUCAUGGCAAACAAAUUAAUGUUAUUGGGUGGUUUGGGAGAGAAGAAAACAGUACUUACGACUAUAGACGUUCUAAAUAUACAUACAGGAGAAUGGACACAAGCUGCGGAUAUUCCAAACCCACCACUUCCUUUUGAAAAAGUUGGAGGUCCUCCUGGGAUUCAGAGCUAUGUUUAUACGUAUCACCAAUGUGAUAAUAAAUGGUCAUCAUCUGAAGGUAUUCCCUCUAUGUACCUGAUAAUGAGCUUUAUACCAAAUGAAUUUUAUGUGGGUGCCAAUGAGUACGAAUGGCCUUCAACUGCUCGUCUUCUAAUGACCAGAGAACGUUUCGGGAAUUAUGGGACUAGUACAGUGCAUCCUACUGCGAGCAUACCAUAUUGGCAGGAUACUUACUACUUAAAUCUUACAAAAAGUGCAAUUUAUGAUGUACUUCUAAAUGAAGAAGGUGUCCCAGAAAAAUGCGUUACAGAAGAAUUUGGGAAGAAGGAGCUGAAAUAUCCUACACGGAACGUAAAAAUUCUUAACCCUGCCUCUUUGUAUCGUCAAGUUACACAUUAAUUGAAAAUGUAUAAGUCCAGGUGUACUGCAUGAUCUGCAGUGUUGGUUAUGUGUACGUCAAGUAAUCGUGUACCGUUGUUUAUAUGUAAUGAGGACAUAUAUAAUUUUAUUCUAUCGCAUAUUAUGAAGAGAAGGCAGUUAGUUAAGUCUGCAUCGCCUGCGUGGAACGUAUCCGGCGUUUCUAUCGAAACUAAUGGUGCCGAACCAUUGUUUCUGCAAUUACAUAGGCAAGUUUGGAAUAACCUUGCAACUUGCAAAAUCUUACUAUAAGUGUAGUUACAGCUACCAGAUAAAUCUUCUAUUUUACAGUGCUUCAUAUAAUUCAUAUUCCACCUCAUAUGGUUAAUAUUACCAUUCCAAAUGUUGAUCACUUCUGCACCAUUUAAGCGCAGCACCAUGGAUACAGUACCUAUCGACAAGAUGAUCGGUUUUAAGUGGGUUCUCAAACAAGGAAGGUAGAAUAGAAGUACGUCCAGGAGUACCGCGAAGAGUCCAACGUCACUUGGGGACCAAUUGCGAGUAAACGACGACUUU